CAGUAGUCACGUAGUUUGAUCCUGGCUCAGAACGAACGCUGGCGGCAUGCCUAACACAUGCAAGUCGAACGAGACCUUCGGGUCUAGUGGCGCACGGGUGCGUAACACGUGGGAAUUUGCCUCGGGGUAUGGAAUAACUCAGGGAAACUUGAGCUAAUACCAUAUAAUGUCUUCGGACCAAAGAUUUAUCGCCCUGAGAUAAGCCCGCGUAGGAUUAGCUAGUUGGUGAGGUAAAGGCUCACCAAGGCGACGAUCCUUAGCUGGUCUGAGAGGAUGAUCAGCCACACUGGGACUGAGACACGGCCCAGACUCCUACGGGAGGCAGCAGUGGGGAAUAUUGGACAAUGGGCGAAAGCCUGAUCCAGCAAUGCCGCGUGAGUGAUGAAGGCCUUCGGGUUGUAAAGCUCUUUUACUCGGGACGAUAAUGACGGUACCGAGAGAAUAAGCCCCGGCUAACUCCGUG
This 463-nucleotide ribosomal RNA is filed under the name uncultured bacterium. Its description in RNAcentral is "bacterial SSU rRNA". It matches the Rfam family "Bacterial small subunit ribosomal RNA", at positions 1 to 507 of the family's 1533-position model. The record is from RNAcentral.